This 471-nucleotide ribosomal RNA is filed under the name uncultured bacterium. Its description in RNAcentral is "bacterial SSU rRNA". It matches the Rfam family "Bacterial small subunit ribosomal RNA", at positions 917 to 1382 of the family's 1533-position model. The record is from RNAcentral.
GGGCUCACACAAGCGGUGGAGCAUGUGGCUUAAUUCGAAGCAACGCGAAGAACCUUAUCCUGGGUUUGACAUGCAAGGAUUAGUCUGGUGAAAGCCAGAUGACACCUUCGGGUGGAACUUGCACAGGUGCUGCAUGGCUGUCGUCAGCUCGUGCCGUGAGGUGUUAGGUUCAGUCCUUCAACGAGCGCAACCCUUGUCGCUAGUUGCCAGCGGGUAAUGCCGGGAACUCUAGCGAGACCGCCGGCGUCAAGUCGGAGGAAGGUGGGGAUGACGUCAAGUCCGCAUGGCCUUUAUGCCCAGGGCUGCACACGUGCUACAAUGGCGAGUACAAUACGAUGCAAUACCGCGAGGUGGAGCAAAUCGCAAAAGCUCGCCCCAGUUCAGAUUGCAGGCUGCAACCCGCCUGCAUGAAGUCGGAAUCGCUAGUAAUCGCUGAUCAGCUACGCAGCGGUGAAUACGUUCCUGAGCCUU